Molecule: transfer RNA, 70 nt
Filed under: Podarcis lilfordi (Lilford's wall lizard)
Lineage: Eukaryota; Metazoa; Chordata; Lepidosauria; Squamata; Lacertidae
Rfam family: tRNA
About the family: Transfer RNA (tRNA) molecules are approximately 80 nucleotides in length. Their secondary structure includes four short double-helical elements and three loops (D, anti-codon, and T loops).
Source: Rfam by way of RNAcentral
GCAGUAGCUCAGUUGGUACAGCAUGAGAUUCUUAAUCUCAGGGUUGUGGGUUUGAGUCCCAGUUUAGGCA